GACGAACGCUGGCGGCGUGCUUAACACAUGCAAGUCGAACGGAAAGGCCCUGCUUUUGUGGGGUGCUCGAGUGGCGAACGGGUGAGUAACACGUGAGUAACCUGCCCUUGACUUUGGGAUAACUUCAGGAAACUGGGGCUAAUACCGGAUAGGAGCUCCUGCUGCAUGGUGGGGGUUGGAAAGUUUCGGCGGUUGGGGAUGGACUCGCGGCUUAUCAGCUUGUUGGUGGGGUAGUGGCUUACCAAGGCUUUGACGGGUAGCCGGCCUGAGAGGGUGACCGGCCACAUUGGGACUGAGAUACGGCCCAGACUCCUACGGGAGGCAGCAGUGGGGAAUAUUGCACAAUGGGCGGAAGCCUGAUGCAGCAACGCCGCGUGCGGGAUGACGGCCUUCGGGUUGUAAACCGCUUUCGCCUGUGACGAAGCGUGAGUGACGGUAAUGGGUAAAGAAGCACCGGCUAACUACGUGCCAGCAGCCGCGGUGAUACGUAGGGUGCGAGCGUUGUCCGGAUUUAUUGGGCGUAAAGGGCUCGUAGGUGGUUGAUCGCGUCGGAAGUGCAAUCUUGGGGCUUAACCCUGAGCGUGCUUUCGAUACGGGUUGACUUGAGGAAGGUAGGGGAGAAUGGAAUUCCUGGUGGAGCGGUGGAAUGCGCAGAUAUCAGGAGGAACACCAGUGGCGAAGGCGGUUCUCUGGGCCUUUCCUGACGCUGAGGAGCGAAAGCGUGGGGAGCGAACAGGCUUAGAUACCCUGGUAGUCCACGCUGUAAACGGUGGGUACUAGGUGUGGGGUCCAUUCCACGGGUUCCGUGCCGUAGCUAACGCUUUAAGUACCCCGCCUGGGGAGUACGGCCGCAAGGCUAAAACUCAAAGGAAUUGACGGGGCCCCGCACAAGCGGCGGAGCAUGCGGAUUAAUUCGAUGCAACGCGUAGAACCUUACCUGGGUUUGACAUGGAUCGGGAGCGCUCAGAGAUGGGUGUGCCUCUUUUGGGGUCGGUCCACAGGUGGUGCAUGGCUGUCGUCAGCUCGUGUCGUGAGAUGUUGGGUUAAGUCCCGCAACGAGCGCAACCCUUGUUCACUGUUGCCAGCACGUUAUGGUGGGGACUCAGUGGAGACCGCCGGGGUCAACUCGGAGGAAGGUGGGGAUGACGUCAAGUCAUCAUGCCCCUUAUGUCCAGGGCUUCACGCAUGCUACAAUGGCUGGUACAGAGAGUGGCGAGCCUGUGAGGGUGAGCGAAUCUCGGAAAGCCGGUCUCAGUUCGGAUUGGGGUCUGCAACUCGACCUCAUGAAGUCGGAGUCGCUAGUAAUCGCAGAUCAGCAACGCUGCGGUGAAUACGUUCCCGGG
Molecule: ribosomal RNA, 1343 nt
Filed under: uncultured bacterium
Lineage: Bacteria
Description: 16S ribosomal RNA
Rfam family: Bacterial small subunit ribosomal RNA
Source: RNAcentral